UGAAUGCUGAUGGAUGCUCACUAUUAAACA
Molecule: non-coding RNA, 30 nt
Filed under: Rattus norvegicus (Norway rat)
Lineage: Eukaryota; Metazoa; Chordata; Mammalia; Rodentia; Muridae
Source: RNAcentral